Poecilia latipinna (sailfin molly) is the source of this 87-nucleotide long non-coding RNA. RefSeq lists it as uncharacterized. The record is from RefSeq and is a predicted model, not a curated record. NCBI's taxonomy places the organism in Eukaryota, Metazoa, Chordata, Actinopteri, Cyprinodontiformes, Poeciliidae. The transcript is spliced from 3 exons.
UCAGAGGAUUUGAUGGUUUCAGAUGGAGAAGGAGAGAAACUCUGACUCUGAGUUGCUGUUGUUGUUGUUGAAGCUGCUGAGGAGAAA